Molecule: ribosomal RNA, 593 nt
Filed under: uncultured bacterium
Lineage: Bacteria
Description: partial 16S ribosomal RNA
Rfam family: Bacterial small subunit ribosomal RNA
Source: RNAcentral
UGGGGAAUUUUGGACAAUGGGCGAAAGCCUGAUCCAGCAAUGCCGCGUGUGUGAAGAAGGCCUUCGGGUUGUAAAGCACUUUUGUCCGGAAAGAAAUCCUUGGCUCUAAUACAGUCGGGGGAUGACGGUACCGGAAGAAUAAGCACCGGCUAACUACGUGCCAGCAGCCGCGGUAAUACGUAGGGUGCAAGCGUUAAUCGGAAUUACUGGGCGUAAAGCGUGCGCAGGCGGUUUGCUAAGACCGAUGUGAAAUCCCCGGGCUCAACCUGGGAACUGCAUUGGUGACUGGCAGGCUAGAGUAUGGCAGAGGGGGGUAGAAUUCCACGUGUAGCAGUGAAAUGCGUAGAGAUGUGGAGGAAUACCGAUGGCGAAAGGCAGCCCCCUGGGCCAAAUACUGACGCUCAUGCACGAAAAGCGUGGGGGAGCAAAACAGGAUUAGAUACCCUGGUAGUCCACGCCCUAAAACGAUGUCAACUAGUUGUUGGGGAUUCAUUUCCUUAGUAACGUAGCUAACGCGUGAAGUUGACCGCCUGGGGAGUACGGUCGCAAAGAUUAAAAACUCAAAUGAAUUGACGGGGUCAUAGCUGUUUCCU